This 484-nucleotide ribosomal RNA is filed under the name uncultured bacterium. Its description in RNAcentral is "partial 16S ribosomal RNA". It matches the Rfam family "Bacterial small subunit ribosomal RNA", at positions 29 to 507 of the family's 1533-position model. The record is from RNAcentral.
AGUGAACGCUGGCGGCAGGCCUAACACAUGCAAGUCGAGCGGCAGCGCGGGGGCAACCCUGGCGGCGAGCGGCGGACGGGUGAGGAAUUCGUCGGAAUCUGCCUUUUUGUGGGGGAUAACGUAGGGAAACUUACGCUAAUACCGCAUACGUCCUACGGGAGAAAGUGGGGGACCGCAAGGCCUCACGCAGAAAGAUGAGCCGACGACCGAUUAGCUAGUUGGUGGGGUAAAGGCCCACCAAGGCGACGAUCGGUAGCUGGUCUGAGAGGAUGAUCAGCCACACUGGGACUGAGACACGGCCCAGACUCCUACGGGAGGCAGCAGUGGGGAAUAUUGGACAAUGGGCGCAAGCCUGAUCCAGCCAUGCCGCAUGUGUGAAGAAGGCCUUCGGGUUGUAAAGCACUUUUGUCCGGAAAGAAAUCCCUGGAGCUAAUACCUUCGGGGGAUGACGGUACCGGAAGAAUAAGCACCGGCUAACUUCGUG